This 475-nucleotide ribosomal RNA is filed under the name uncultured bacterium. RNAcentral describes it as "bacterial SSU rRNA". It matches the Rfam family "Bacterial small subunit ribosomal RNA", at positions 915 to 1391 of the family's 1533-position model. The record is from RNAcentral.
GGGGACCCGCAAGCGGUGGAGCAUGUGGUUUAAUUCGAAGCAACGCGAAGAACCUUACCAGGUCUUGACAUCCUCUGACCACCCUAGAGAUAGGGACUUCCCCUUCGGGGGACAGAGUGACAGGUGGUGCAUGGUUGUCGUCAGCUCGUGUCGUGAGAUGUUGGGUUAAGUCCCGCAACGAGCGCAACCCUUGUCCUUAGUUGCCAGCAUUCAGUUGGGCACUCUAAGGAGACUGCCGGUGACAAACCGGAGGAAGGUGGGGAUGACGUCAAAUCAUCAUGCCCCUUAUGACCUGGGCUACACACGUGCUACAAUGGAUGGUACAAAGGGUUGCGAAGCCGUGAGGUGUAGCUAAUCCCAUAAAACCAUUCUCAGUUCGGAUUGUAGGCUGCAACUCGCCUACAUGAAGCCGGAAUCGCUAGUAAUCGCGGAUCAGAAUGCCGCGGUGAAUACGUUCCCGGGUCUUGUACACACC